UGGGGUUGUGGCUCAGUGGUAGAGCAUUUGCCUAGCAUGUGCAAGGCCCUGGGUUCAACCCUCAGCACCACAA
RNAcentral lists this transfer RNA (73 nucleotides) under Marmota monax (woodchuck). Its description in RNAcentral is "tRNA.Ala". It matches the Rfam family "tRNA". Rfam says of the family: Transfer RNA (tRNA) molecules are approximately 80 nucleotides in length. Their secondary structure includes four short double-helical elements and three loops (D, anti-codon, and T loops). Lineage: Eukaryota; Metazoa; Chordata; Mammalia; Rodentia; Sciuridae. The record is from RNAcentral.